AUGUGGUUUUUAAUAUCUUUUCUUUUCUGCAAUUCUUAUGAUGCUGGACUGAUCCAACUCCAUUAUGUACAAAUUAAUUCCUUACUUGCACCCUUCAUUCAGAAAUCAGGUUCUAGAGUUACUGAGAAAGAGUAUAUGUACAUCACCAACUCAUUUUCAGUUGGACAUUUCAUUUUUCAGAAUUAUUGUUUGUUUAAUAAUGCUGCAGGUUUUCCAUCGACAGAUUCCAGUUGGUGUCACAAAGGAUAUAUGCUCAUUGGAUUUGUUGAUGUUGAAGCAUCAGUGAGAUCACAUGAAUGCGGAAUCAGGGUGCUUAUGAGAUCACAUGAAUGA
RNAcentral lists this ribosomal RNA (333 nucleotides) under Triticum aestivum (bread wheat). RNAcentral describes it as "partial small subunit ribosomal RNA". Lineage: Eukaryota; Viridiplantae; Streptophyta; Magnoliopsida; Poales; Poaceae. The record is from RNAcentral.